AUAAUUGUUGGUCAAUUAUGGUGUAUCAUGACGAACCCUAGUAUUAUCAAGUUAAGCCCUAAUUUGAAACUCAAAUUAGAGUACAAGAUUGUUAGGUAAUCGUGAUAAUGUGAUUAAUGUAUGAUAUUAUAAAUAUAAAUGCUAAUUAGGUAAAACCUAAUUAUUAACUCGAAAUCGUAAUCGUGAAAUUUGAACCCUAAUCGCUAAAGUAUGG
Molecule: long non-coding RNA, 214 nt
Filed under: Panax ginseng (ginseng)
Lineage: Eukaryota; Viridiplantae; Streptophyta; Magnoliopsida; Apiales; Araliaceae
Description: long non-coding RNA (PGIN_LNC002567)
Source: RNAcentral